GAUGCGUCACGGCUGUUUGUGUGAGCAGAAGAGCGGGGAGGGAAGGGAAGCGGAGCCGCCAGAGCGAGAGAGGAGCCUCCGGCCGCAGGACGAGGCAGAGAGGAGGGCGAAAGCCCGCAAGGAAGUUCAGCGGCAACGCUCCCUUCCCGGCAGCAACUCCAUUAGCGGCCACAGCAGCCUCUGCUCCUCGCAGCCGCCUCCGCCCCCUCCUCACAGGAAAACUGGGCGGAAGCGUUGACUUCAAGCUUCUUCCGCCGCCACAGCUUGAUCCAAAAUAACCUCGGGGGAAAGGGAGGAGGGGGAAAAAGCGAGGUGAAGAAAGUAAUCCCGCGGACCCUGCGCCGUCCGCCAGACGGGUCCGCGCCGCCACUCUACCCGCGAUGCCCACCGCCCGCCCAGUGCUUGAGUUUACUGAAAGUAGUUCCCUCCCCUCCCCCCGCGGCUCUGCCUCACGCGCUUCCCGAGGAGCCGCCGCCGUCGCACACGCAGUCACGGCGCCGCGGAGGGAUACAAGUGCCCCGACGGCGCUCUCCUUCCUGCUCCUGCUGAGGGCGCGGGGCACGGUGCGCACGCAAGGCGUCGCGCUCCCGCUUUGGGUCCCGCUGCCCCCCACCCCCGCCGCCUGGUGUGGGGCUGCCUUGGAGUGGCGAGCGGGUCCCGGCCGGCCGGGCUGGGCUUUCACUCUUUUCGUGCUUUUCUUUUAAGCUGAAGUGAAUUUAAUCGCUAAGUGUGCGGCAGCCUCUGUGGAGUGUGGGGGACUGGCGAAGCGGGAAACACCCAGUGUCCCAUUCCCGGGGCCCGUCACCGGCGCGUUCUCACAGCCCGCCGUCAGCCUCUCUGUUGAACGGAACACACCGGUAAAGCGGAAGGACUGGCGACCCGAGAGAGGCGGCGGCGUGACCCUGGAGCUGCGGAGCGGUGACAUGCGGGGCUGUCACUGGCAGACUGCCGCUGGAGUUGAUCCAGGUAAGCCGUGAAACCAAGAAAUGGCAGCAGCCCAACGCAAACCCCUUUUCAGGAACUUAUAUGGCAAGCGUGCUGCUGGAUCUGAUGAAAAAAUGGAGCGGUGCUGCAGACCUCGAGGACUCUGAAAAUCAUGAGUCAGACCAUCAAGUAAAUUAGAUUAUAAUAAAAGAUUAUAUUGUGGUUU
Molecule: long non-coding RNA, 1150 nt
Organism: Colius striatus (speckled mousebird)
Lineage: Eukaryota; Metazoa; Chordata; Aves; Coliiformes; Coliidae
Exons: 2
Source: RefSeq, a predicted model, not a curated record